This 253-nucleotide ribosomal RNA is filed under the name uncultured bacterium. RNAcentral describes it as "partial 16S ribosomal RNA". It matches the Rfam family "Bacterial small subunit ribosomal RNA", at positions 524 to 776 of the family's 1533-position model. The record is from RNAcentral.
UACGUAGGGGGCAAGCGUUGUCCGGAAUUAUUGGGCGUAAAGAGCGUGUAGGCGGUCCGGUAAGUCGGCUGUGAAAGUCCAGGGCUCAACCCUGGGAUGCCGGUCGAUACUGCCGGACUAGAGUUCGGAAGAGGCGAGUGGAAUUCCCGGUGUAGCGGUGAAAUGCGCAGAUAUCGGGAGGAACACCUAUGGCGAAGGCAGCUCGCUGGGACGUUACUGACGCUGAUGCGCGAAAGCCAGGGGAGCGAACGGG